GAUCAAGUCGAAAAGGGUGUACGGUGGAUGCCUUGGCACCAGAAGGCGAUGAAGGGCGUGGUUAACUGCGAUAAUCCCUGGGGAGCCGUAAGCAGGCCUUGAUCCAGGGGUGCCCGAAUGGGGAAACCCACCAUAGCAAACCUAUGGUAUCCUUACCUGAAUAAAAUAGGGUAAGGAGGCGAGACGGGGGGAACUGAAACAUCUAAUUACCCCCAGGAAGAGAAAGUAAUAACGAUUCCCUAAGUAGCGGCGAGCGAAAGGGGAAGAGCCUAAACGGUAAGAGUGUGAUAGUCGGUAGACGUUGCUCUUGCCGGGUCGUGGGACCUGAUCUGAUUCUACUACCGUAAGAAUCAAAGAGUUAAAAAGUCUUUUUCUAGCCGAAGUGAUAUUGGAAAAGUCCACCAUAGAUGGUGAUAGUCCAGUAGGCGAAAGGGAAAGACCUCUUCAUCAGGCACCCGAGUAUCACGGGAUAAGGGAAGCCCUGUGAGAAUUUGGGAGGACCACCUCCUAAGGCUAAAUACUAACUGGUGACCGAUAGUGAACUAGUACCGUGAGGGAAAGGUGAAAAGUACCCCGGAAGGGGAGUGAAAUAGUACCUGAAACCGUAUACCUACAAGCAGUGGGAGCACUAUUUUUUAAGAUUUAUCUUAAAGAUGUGUGACCGCGUGCCUUUUGUAGAAUGAGCCGGCGAGUUACGAUACCUAGCCAGGUUAAGCAGCAGCUGCUGCGGAGCCGUAGCGAAAGCGAGUCUUAAAUAGGGCGUCAAGUUAGGUGGCGUAGACCCGAAACCGGGUGAUCUAACCAUGGCCAGGGUGAAACAGGUCUAAUCACCUGUGGAGGCCCGAACCCACCAGUGUUGAAAAACUGGGGGAUGAGCUGUGGUUAGGGGUGAAAGGCCAAUCAAACUCGGAGAUAGCUGGUUCUCCUCGAAAUAGCUUUAGGGCUAGCCUCAAAUGUUUUCCUAUGGAGGUAGAGCACUGAAUGGACUAAGGGCCCUACCAGGUUACUGAACCCAAUCAAACUCCGAAUGCCAUAGGUUUAUAGUUUGGGAGUCAGACUGCGGGGGAUAAGCUCCGUAGUCAAAAGGGAAACAGCCCAGACCAGCAGCUAAGGUCCCCAAGUGCAAGCUAAGUGUGAAAGGAAGUAGAAUUACCGAGACAGCCAGGAUGUUGGCUCAGAGGCAGCCAUCAUUUAAAAAGUGCGUAACAGCUUACUGGUCAAGUGAUUCUGCACCGAAAAAUGUACGGGGCUAUAAGCUUGCCACCGAAGCUCUGGAUCCAGAAUUUAUUCUGGGUGGUAGAGGAGCGUUCCCUUACCGGGUGAAGGAUAACCGUAAGGAUAUCUGGACGGAAGGGAAGUGAGAAUGCCGGCAUGAGUAACGAUAAGGAGAGUGAGAAUCUCUCCCGCCGAAAACCUAAGGUUUCCUGGGGAAGGUAAAUCCGCCCAGGGUUAGUCGGAACCUAAGCUGAGGCCGAAAGGCGUAGGUGAUGGACAACCGGUUAAUAUUCCGGUACUACCAGAUUAUCGCUACAAGUGAUGGGGGGACGCAGUAGGGUAGGUCAGCACGAUAAAAGUUACGUGUCUAAGCCCGCAAGGGAGGAGAUAGGAAAAUCCGUCUCCUUUUAAAACCCUAAGAGGUGAUGGGGAGCUGCUACGGCGGCGAACUGAUUGAUCCCACACUGCCAAGAAAAGCCUCUAAACAAGAUAACCUGGUAUCCGUACUAAAACCGACACAGGUAGGUAGGUAGAGAAUACCAAGGCGCUCGAGAUAACCCUCGUUAAGGAACUCGGCAAAAUGACUCCGUAACUUCGGGAGAAGGAGUGCCCCAUUAGGGUGACCCAAUUUACUUGGUUAGCCUGAAGGGGUUGCAAAGAAACGGCCCAAGCGACUGUUUACUAAAAACACAGGUCUCUGCUAAAUCGAAAGAUGAUGUAUAGGGACUGACGCCUGCCCGGUGCUGGAAGGUUAAGGAAGGGGGUUACUCUCACCUCAGGUGAGGGGAAGCUUCUGACCGAAGCCCCAGUAAACGGCGGCCGUAACUAUAACGGUCCUAAGGUAGCGAAAUUCCUUGUCGGGUAAGUUCCGACCCGCACGAAUGGCGUAACGAUUUGGGCACUGUCUCAACGAGGGACUCGGUGAAAUUGUAGUGUAAGUGAAGAUGCUUACUACCCGCGACAGGACGGAAAGACCCCGUGAACCUUUACUGUAGCCUGAUAUUGAAUUUUAGCAUGCUCUGUGUAGGAUAGGUGGUAGGCUGGGAAGGAGGAGCGCCAGCUUCUCUGGAGCCACCCUUGAAAUACCACCCUUAGUAUGUUUGGAUUCUAACCCUUGCCGUUAUCCGGUAAGGGGACAGUAUUUGGUGGGCAGUUUGACUGGGGCGGUCACCUCCUAAAGAGUAACGGAGGUGUCCCAAGGUCUCCUCAGUGUGGUUGGAAAUCACACCAGAGAGUGUAAGGGCAGAAGGAGGCUUAACUGUGAGAGAGACAUCUCGAACAGAUGCGAAAGCAGGGCCUAGUGAUCCGGCGGUAACUAGUGGAUGUGCCGUCGCUUAACGGAUAAAAGGUACUCCGGGGAUAACAGGCUUAUCUCCCCCAAGAGUCCAUAUCGACGGGGAGGUUUGGCACCUCGAUGUCGGCUCGUCGCAUCCUGGGGCUGAAGCAGGUCCCAAGGGUUUGGCUGUUCGCCAAUUAAAGCGGUACGCGAGCUGGGUUUAGAACGUCGUGAGACAGUUCGGUCCCUAUCCGUCGUGGGCGUAGGAUACUUGAAGAGGGUCUGCCUCUAGUACGAGAGGACCGAGGUGGACGAACCUCUAGUGUACCAGUUGUCCUGCUCAGGGCAUUGCUGGGUAGCUAUGUUCGGUCGGGAUAAACGCUGAAAGCAUCUAAGCGUGAAGCCUGCCUCAAGAUUAGGUAUCCCAUCUGGAUCUAUCCAGAGAGAGACCCCGGGUAGACUACCCGGUUGAUAGGUCAGAAGUGUAAGGACAGUAAUGUCUUUAGCUAACUGAUACUAAUAGGUCGAGGACUUGAUCG
Molecule: ribosomal RNA, 3030 nt
Filed under: Candidatus Atribacteria bacterium
Lineage: Bacteria; Pseudomonadati; Atribacterota; Atribacteria
Description: bacterial LSU rRNA
Rfam family: Bacterial large subunit ribosomal RNA
Source: RNAcentral